AGUGAACGCUGGCGGUAGGCCUAACACAUGCAAGUCGAACGGCAGCACAGUAAGAGCUUGCUCUUACGGGUGGCGAGUGGCGGACGGGUGAGGAAUACAUCGGAAUCUACUUUUUCGUGGGGGAUAACGUAGGGAAACUUACGCUAAUACCGCAUACGCUCUACGGGUGAAAGCAGGGGAUCUUCGGACCUUGCGCGAUUGAAUGAGCCGAUGUCGGAUUAGCUAGUUGGCGGGGUAAAGGCCACCAAGGCGACGAUCCGUAGCUGAUCUGAGAGGAUGAUCGGCCACACUGGAACUGAGACACGGUCCAGACUCCUACGGGAGGCAGCAGUGGGGAAUAUUGGACAAUGGGCGCAAGCCUGAUCCAGCCAUACCGCGUGGGUGAAGAAGGCCUUCGGGUUGUAAAGCCCUUUUGUUGGGAAAGAAAAGCAGCAGGUUAAUACCCCGCUGUUCUGACGGUACCCAAAGAAUAAGCACCGGCUAACUUCGUG
This 491-nucleotide ribosomal RNA is filed under the name uncultured bacterium. Its description in RNAcentral is "partial 16S ribosomal RNA". It matches the Rfam family "Bacterial small subunit ribosomal RNA", at positions 29 to 507 of the family's 1533-position model. The record is from RNAcentral.